Molecule: ribosomal RNA, 497 nt
Filed under: uncultured bacterium
Lineage: Bacteria
Description: partial 16S ribosomal RNA
Rfam family: Bacterial small subunit ribosomal RNA
Source: RNAcentral
GAUGAACGCUGGCGGCGUGCCUAAUACAUGCAAGUCGAGCGAACAGACGAGGAGCUUGCUCCUCUGACGUUAGCGGCGGACGGGUGAGUAACACGUGGAUAACCUACCUAUAAGACUGGGAUAACUUCGGGAAACCGGAGCUAAUACCGGAUAAUAUAUUGAACCGCAUGGUUCAAUAGUGAAAGACGGUUUUGCUGUCACUUAUAGGUGGAUCCGCGCCGCAUUAGCUAGUUGGUAAGGUAACGGCUUACCAAGGCAACGAUGCGUAGCCGACCUGAGAGGGUGAUCGGCCACACUGGAACUGAGACACGGUCCAGACUCCUACGGGAGGCAGCAGUAGGGAAUCUUCCGCAAAGGGCGAAAGCCUGACGGAGCAACGCCGCGUGAGUGAUGAAGGUCUUCGGAUCGUAAAACUCUAUUAUUAGGGAAGAACAAAUGUGUAAGUAACUAUGCACGUCUUGACGGUACCUAAUCAGAAAGCCACGGCUAACUACGUG